AUGUCAUGAUGUGGACACUUCCUAAGCAAAUUAUUAAAUCUUUCCCGUGCCUCAUGAAAAAAUUCCCUAUCCUCUUGAGAAAAUUCAGGAAUGGAAGUUCUCAUAGCAU
Cornus florida is the source of this 109-nucleotide small nucleolar RNA. The record is from RefSeq and is a predicted model, not a curated record. Lineage: Eukaryota; Viridiplantae; Streptophyta; Magnoliopsida; Cornales; Cornaceae.